This 287-nucleotide long non-coding RNA is filed under the name Malus domestica (apple). RNAcentral describes it as "long non-coding RNA (MDOM_LNC020457)". Lineage: Eukaryota; Viridiplantae; Streptophyta; Magnoliopsida; Rosales; Rosaceae. The record is from RNAcentral.
UGUUAUAUGCUUAAACGAUAAGUCCAAGGAAUAUGUGAUUGGGAGAAUACAAUCUAAAGAAGUUAGAUUCAUGAGACCAUUCUUUCGUAGACACAUCCUAAAUGUUCCUGAUCAUAGGAUUGCCAUUUGGGCAUUGACAGUCCGUUAAGAUCAGUACGUGCUGUGUCUUCUCCCAGGGAGAGUGACUAGUCUCGAGUCAUUGGUGUGUGUGACAUCAAGACAGGUACGUAGGUGCUCAAUAGAGAAUGAGUUCACUGAACACGAUCAACGAAGAGUUCUCAUAUUCA